CUCGGUUGUCCUGCCAUAAGUAGUAGAAAGUGCCCAGGAUCCAGGCUACGGUCAGGAUGGCGAUGGCAUUGGCGCGGAUCUUCCUCAUGGAAUGGACUCCAGCAGCAUCACAGAAUCAAAGCAACACCUAAGGAAUUCACUGUUUCUUCACAUACUUUGAACUGUGAAAACAAGAGUCAUCAUAAUAGCUGCAGUUUACUCAGUACCUACCAGGUACUGUCACCUAUACUGUCUCUAAAGCCCCUACAACCCUGAGCUAAGGAUGAUCAUAUCCCCAACUGCAGAUGAUGACACUGAAGCUCAACGGCUACUCAACUUGCCUGGAAUCCUACAGCAAUUAACAAAAACCAGCAUCACGCUCAAGGUUUUGUGAACUUAUCAGUUCCCUUAUUUCAACUCCUGGUCCUGUUGGAAAAAGUGACAGUUGGGAGGCAGAACUGCGCAUGGUAGCCCAGAGCUCUUACCAUCUGAGCCACGUGCCCAUUCAUUUCUCAUUUCAGAAUACUGCAUUGUGUCACAAGAAUUCAACUAUGUACUCAUGGAGAAGGAGGGAGAAAGCAAGGAAGGAAAAAAGAGAAAAGUAAUUUACAUAGUAACAGCAAUUCUGCUCAACAUUCCAUUCAGUGAGCCGAUACCCUGGAGUGCAGAAACUGUUAUGAAUGUACUCCACCAAGGCAAGAAAGGAAGAAGACAUGGAAUUUAAAAAACAGAGGAUCUACUAUGAAAGAGAAAGGUGAAGGGAAUUCCAGGCUGAUGGUAAAUGCAAAUUCCAGGAUGAGAGUUGGGCAGCAGGCCUAGAGUGCACUCCGUCCUGGGAGGAGCCAGAUGAUAGAGGGCUCUAGGAGAGAAGGCUCCAAGGGAAAAUGAAACAAGAGGAGGAGAAGAAACAGGCUUACGCUGAGCGAAUCCAAUGUGCAGACAGACACACAGGGAAGGUGACCAUUUGAAGACGGAGGCAGAAACUGAAGUUGUGCAACUGCAAACCAAGAAAUGCCAUGGAUUGCCAACAACCACCAGGAACUAGAAGAGGCAAGGUAAGGUUCAGCAAAGUCUAUGUCAUUCUCUAAUCCUUUUGAUCCAGCGGAUUCUUUGGAGGAAUUUGAAUACAUAUUGGAUUUUGCAUCCAGGUUUGCAAGAGGAAAAUACAAAGGUGACUUCUGGGCCUGCUGGAGGUGGAGGGUAGAGGAUGGACAGCUGACAUCUAGUCACAGAGGAAAGAACACAGAAAGAGAUCUCCAGUUAAAGCUGAUAGAUUGAACCACAGACAACCCACCUCCUUCUAAAAUCCCUCUAGAACAAUGGUUUAAAAAAAGUGCUUUAACAUAAAACUUCAAAAUCAAAAAGAUAAGGAAAAUGAUGAAAACCACUCAGAUAAGAAGAGAGGAUAUUUAUGCAGAGGCUGCUGUCGUUGGGAGUCCGCCACCAUACCACUAUACUUUGGUGAGACUUGAAGGCAGGCAGGGAGUGGAAACACUUUAUGCUGUAGUGAAAAAAGGGGAAGGCUUCGGUAUGCUCUGACUGGAGAUCAUUGUCAUGGGGAAACUGCAGGUGGGCUAACUAGAGGCUGGGCUUCUUGUGUAAUGGUUUGGCUUUCUCUGGUUGGUCCUGUGUUGAAAAUAGGGGCAAAAUAUAGGGAAGCUGACUCAUUGACCAAGCCCUGCCCAGGCUGGCCAAUUGCAGAGGUUGUGGGUCAGAGUUCUAUUGUCAUAUAUGGUCUGGCUACUGUCUGUUUAUAUAAUCCGUCUCUCAGAGAACAGUAGAGGAGAUCAAAUUAUUAACAUUUUGGAAGCUGGAAAGCAGGAGGAUAGUGUGAGCUGAAUUAGCAGACUUGCCAUCUAUCAAAGGGGAUAGCCAAAAGCAAGCCAGAUUUGCCCCAGAGAACCACCAAAGGUUCAAGAAUUGGCAGCACCAGGUACCCCCAGAAGCAGGGAUAAAGUGGGGGCUGAAAUUGGACAGUUGGUUCAAAGUCUAUUUCAGAAGCAUUAGACCACUGGAUUUCUUCCCCAGCUCCCAAAUGACUGCCUGGUGCAAAAGACUCAGGAUUGAUUCCCUGGAGAGGGUAGGUAGUUCUUUGUCUAGUUAAGGAUGGGAUGCCAUAACAAACAUGCCAAUUCAGUGAAAGUACCUACUUUCAAGACUCCUGCUUAACUCCCCUAAAUCAGCAGCCAAUGUUAGAAGCCAAGUGUUAAAGUUUUUCAGAUAAUUUUGCUAUAAGCCUAUGGAGAAAUUUCAUUACCAUCUCAUAGCAAGGCCUAUAGUAUAAGAGCAGGCCUAUAGUAGCAUAUGGGGGAAAGUCUAAAAGACUUUGAAAUGGACCAAAAGAUUAUUGAGAAAUGGAAAACUGCAUUGUUUUAAGUAUCCCUUUCCAACUUAUCAGAUUCUGUGGGGUUUAUACCUUUCAUUGUCUUUGAGGUAUUUAACAAUUCUAAAGAGAUAGACUCUAACUUGUAGAAAACUAAGAGUAACAUAAAUAAUUAUCGUCUUUAGAUAUACAAAUAAAUUCUGUUCUGAGAA
RNAcentral lists this long non-coding RNA (2514 nucleotides) under Homo sapiens (human). RNAcentral describes it as "HSALNT0377722". Lineage: Eukaryota; Metazoa; Chordata; Mammalia; Primates; Hominidae. The record is from RNAcentral.